GACGGGGACCCGCACAAGCGGUGGAUGAUGUGGAUUAAUUCGAUGCAACGCGAAAACCUUACCUACCCUUGACAUGUCUGGAAGGCCGAAGAGAUUUGGCUGUGCUCGCAAGAGAACCGGAACACAGGUGCUGCAUGGCUGUCGUCAGCUCGUGUCGUGAGAUGUUGGGUUAAGUCCCGCAACGAGCGCAACCCUUGUCAUUAGUUGCUACGAAAGGGCACUCUAAUGAGACUGCCGGUGACAAACCGGAGGAAGGUGGGGAUGACGUCAAGUCCUCAUGGCCCUUAUGGGUAGGGCUUCACACGUCAUACAAUGGUCGGGACAGAGGGUCGCCAACCCGCGAGGGGGAGCCAAUCCCAGAAACCCGAUCGUAGUCCGGAUUGCAGGCUGCAACUCGCCUGCAUGAAGUUGGGGUUGCUAGUAACCGCAGGUCAGCAAUACUGCGGUGAAUACGUUCCCGGGGAUU
This 466-nucleotide ribosomal RNA is filed under the name uncultured Pusillimonas sp. Its description in RNAcentral is "bacterial SSU rRNA". It matches the Rfam family "Bacterial small subunit ribosomal RNA", at positions 912 to 1382 of the family's 1533-position model. Lineage: Bacteria; Pseudomonadati; Pseudomonadota; Betaproteobacteria; Burkholderiales; Alcaligenaceae. The record is from RNAcentral.